CGCGGCUGCGAGGGCGGCCGGGCCAGCGGCGGCUGCGGGGGCAGCGGGGACGCGAGAGCGGCCGGAGCGUCCCCCGGGGAGCCGCCCGAGAGCUUGGGCUGCAACAGAACCACAGCGAGAGCGCCGUUAGUGCGGCAGCGGGGAAAAGGGGAAAAGGGGAAAGGCGGCCGCGAAAUGCGCAUUUCUGGGGGAUUGAGGGGGAAAAGUGCUUGGGAAGAACCCCAAAAAGGCCAAAUUCAGCCCCAAAGUUGGCGGGUUUGGGGGACUUAGGGAAAAAGUGGUUUGGGAAUGCACCAAAAAUGGGAAAUUCAGCCCCAAAGUUCGCAGUUUUGGGGGAUUGAGGGAAAAAAAUGCUUGGGAAGAACCCCAAAAAGGCCAAAUCCAGCCCCAAAGUUGGCGGGUUUGGGGGAUUUGCGGGAAAAUUCAGCCCCCAAAAUUCGCGGGUUUGGUGGAUUGAGGGAAAAAACGCGCUGGGGACCGCCCAAAAAAAGCUAAAUUCAGCCCCAAAGUUCGGGUUUGGGGGAGUUGAGGGAAAAAAAAUGCCCGGUUUUGGGGAUUGAGGGAAAAUGCUUGGGAAGACCCCAAAAGGCCAAAUUCAGCCCCAAAUUCAGCCCCAAAGUUGGCGGGUUUGGGGGAUUUAGGGAAAAAGUGGUUUGGGAAUGCACCAAAAAUGGGAAAUUCAGCCCCAAAGUUCGCAGUUUUGGGGGAUUGAGGGAAAAAACUGCUUGGGAAGAACCCCAAAAAGGCCAAAUUCAGCCCCAAAGUUCGCAGUUUUGGGGAAUUUGCGGGAAAAUUCAGCCCCAAAGUUCGCGGGUUUGGGGGAUUGAGGGAAAAAACUGCUUGGGAAUGAGCCGAAAAUGGCAAAUUCAGCUCCAAAUUUUGAGGUUUUGGGGAAUCUGGGGAAAAAGCGGAUUGGGAAUGUAGCAAAAAUGGGAAAUUCAGCCCCAAAUUUUGAGAUUUUCGGGAAUUGAGGGAAAAAGCAGCUCGGGAAUGAGCCGAAAAAGCCAAAUUCAGCCCCAAAGUUCACGGUUUUGGGGGAUUGAGGGAAAAAAAAUGCUUGGGAAGAACCCCAAAAAGGCCAAAUUCAGCCCCAAAUUUUGAGGUUUUGGAGGAGAUCCCCAAUGCAUCCCCAAAACCCCAAUUCUGCCCCAAAUCGGAUUUU
This 1162-nucleotide long non-coding RNA is filed under the name Camarhynchus parvulus. RNAcentral's name for it is "lncRNA (ENSCPVG00000016752.1)". The record is from RNAcentral. Lineage: Eukaryota; Metazoa; Chordata; Aves; Passeriformes; Thraupidae.